Molecule: ribosomal RNA, 248 nt
Filed under: uncultured bacterium
Lineage: Bacteria
Description: partial 16S ribosomal RNA
Rfam family: Bacterial small subunit ribosomal RNA
Source: RNAcentral
GAUCAUGCUCAGGAUGAACGCUAGCGACAGGCUUAACACAUGCAAGUCGAGGGGCAGCGAGGGAGUGGCAACACUUCUGUCGGCGACCGGCGCACGGGUGAGUAACGCGUAUGCAACCUGCCCUUCACAGGGGGAUAACCGGGAGAAAUUCCGACUAAUACCGCAUACGUCCUUUGGGGGCAUCCCCGGGGGAUGAAAGAAUUAUCGGUGAAGGAUGGGCAUGCGUGAUAUUAGGUAGUUGGCGGGGG